Molecule: ribosomal RNA, 360 nt
Filed under: Pseudomonas aeruginosa
Lineage: Bacteria; Pseudomonadati; Pseudomonadota; Gammaproteobacteria; Pseudomonadales; Pseudomonadaceae
Description: bacterial SSU rRNA
Rfam family: Bacterial small subunit ribosomal RNA
Source: RNAcentral
CCUGGCCUUGACCAUGCUGAGAACUUUCCAGAGAUGGAUUGGUGCCUUCGGGAACUCAGACACAGGUGCUGCAUGGCUGUCGUCAGCUCGUGUCGUGAGAUGUUGGAUUAAGUCCCGUAACGAGCGCAACCCUUGUCCCUUAGUUACCAGCACCUCGGGUGGGCACUCUAAGGAGACUGCCGGUGACAAACCGGAGGAAGGUGGGGAUGACGUCAAGUCAUCAUUGCCCUUACGGCCAGGGCUACACACGUGCUACAAUGGUCGGUACAAAGGGUUGCCAAGCCGCGAGGUGGAGCUAAUCCCAUAAAACCGAUCGUAGUCCGGAUCGCAGUCUGCAACUCGCUGCGUGAAGUCGGAAUC